CACGUAAUCGUCAGACAGAACGAGCGAUUUGAGCGAUUCGCUUAUAUAUAUAAAAGAAAAUCAGUUAUUUUCCAUCGCCUUGAUUCCGCCCAUAUCAUCGGGGUGUCCGCCUUGUUCGAGGGGCUGGUCGUAGAGGUCCGAUGCGUCACGUUUAUUUGGGCCUUCUGCAUCCCACUGGCAGGGAAGCGCCCGAUUUUUUUUUCUCCUCCUUGCCUUACAACGUUCUGUAUAUGUUUAUUCCAAGCGUGGAUCUUCUGGAAAACAAGGUAUCGAAGGGAAGUCGCGACGCAAAGUAUGCAUUUGGAGACAAUUCUUUGCCGUUUACUGGAUGAAAUUUCAGGCACCCCCUUGGAUUGGUAUUUAAUUCAGGUCCCAAAGUGCUGAUC
This is a long non-coding RNA of Cyprinus carpio (common carp), 386 nucleotides long. The record is from Ensembl. NCBI's taxonomy places the organism in Eukaryota, Metazoa, Chordata, Actinopteri, Cypriniformes, Cyprinidae.